GAGCUGCACAACUGGCGGAAAAGCAGGAGACUGCCGUGGAGUACCACGAGGGAGUGCAGGAAGGGCGUAAACCUAAACCAAAGAAGGAUAUAAACGCCGCUUGAAAGAAGCCGACCGCCUGGGCAAU
RNAcentral lists this non-coding RNA (127 nucleotides) under uncultured Acetatifactor sp. The record is from RNAcentral. Lineage: Bacteria; Bacillati; Bacillota; Clostridia; Lachnospirales; Lachnospiraceae.